Long non-coding RNA from Oreochromis aureus, 1106 nucleotides. The record is from Ensembl. NCBI's taxonomy places the organism in Eukaryota, Metazoa, Chordata, Actinopteri, Cichliformes, Cichlidae.
AAAAAAGCUUAUUUGUUAUUAUGCUUUGUAUAAGGUCAUUUAAAAUCUAUUUGUUACCUAACAGAUGGAACAACAACAAAAAAAACCACCUACUUUGACCAAAUUCAGUUUCAUUUAUUUUUUCAUUAUUUAGUGCCAAAUCACAGCAGUUGCCUGAUGGCACUUUAUACUGUAAAGACCCUAGAAUAAUACAGAAAAAACAGAAAAACAAACAAACAAUCUGGUGACAACAUCUGGUCAUCAGACAAUCAGGUGAGCAAGUACUUUGGCAACAGUGGUAUGAAAAAACUCCCCUUUAACAGCGAGGAACCUCCGACAUACUCAGGAUUGGGAAGGGGUGGAGAUCUGCCACCACAAGUUUAGAGUGUAGGGGAGGAAGACGGGACAAAAAUAUGCUGUUGAACAGAGCCAGAGAUUAAUUAUAACUAAAGAUUAAAUGCAGAGUAGUGCAUAAACACAAGGCGAGUGAAAAAGAAAAACUCCAUGCAUCAUUGGAAGACCCCCAGCAGCCUAGGGUAACUAAAAGAGGAUUCAGGGUCAUCUGAUCCAGUCCUAACUAUAUGAAUCCUCACAAUGUUACUGGAGGCCAAAGUAAUACUAUCCAGAGUAAAUUCCUGGUUAGAUAGAGGUUUUUGGGCCGAGUACAAUAACGUCCUUUUUUGACUGGUUUUAAAAGCAGGAAAUUAGAGGACAUCCAGAUCUUUAUGUCUUUUAGACAUUCCUGCAGUUUAACUAAUUGCUGUGUGUUACCUGGCUUCAUGGAUAAACAAAGUAGGGUGUCACCUGGAUAGAAGUGAAAAUGUAUGCUAUGCCUCCAGAUGAUGCUGCCUAAGGGAUGCAUGUUUAAGGUAAACAUUAAUGGUCCUAGCAGGGAACCCUGUGGUACUCCAUAAUUAACCUUAGUGUGUGAAGAGGAAUCUUCAUUUACAUGAACAAAUUGGACUCUAAUACAGCGAAGUGAUUCAAAUCACUGCACCGCAGUACCUGUAAUACCUACAGCAUGUUAUAAUUGCUCCAAUAGGAUAUUAUGGUCAACAGUAUCGAACGCUGCACUGAGGUCUAGCAGGACAAGCACAGAGAAGAGUCCACUGUCAGAGGCCAUAAGA